RNAcentral lists this long non-coding RNA (1712 nucleotides) under Triticum aestivum (bread wheat). RNAcentral describes it as "long non-coding RNA (TAES_LNC005922)". The record is from RNAcentral. Lineage: Eukaryota; Viridiplantae; Streptophyta; Magnoliopsida; Poales; Poaceae.
CCAAAAUUUAACCGAAAUUUGGCCGAAAUUCGGCCGAAAUUUGAACAAAACUUUAAAUAAAAUAGAGCAAAACAUAUCAGCACAACAACCAUCAGGAGAGAUCUUAUAAACGUUAGCAAAUAAGCUCUAGGGAUUAAGAAAAUUGAAUCUGCCCAACAUAACAGGCACACGUUAGCUAUAAUGUUGCCUCCAACAUAACAGUUAACAAUCCAACAUAGCAGACACACAUUAGUUAUAAAAUUGCCUCCAACAUAACCCUUAACAGUCCAACAUAACAGGCACACAUUAGUUAUAAAAUUGCCUCUGACAUAAACCCUUAACCGUCCAGCAUCAGUUCAACCAUCACAGCAUAGUUCAAAGUUUAAAUAGUCCAGUACAGCCAAAAGACUUUAAAGCAUUAAACAUAGAAACAUCUCCAAAAGACAACCAUCAGCUUAUUUGAAGCAUCAGCUCCAAGCUUCCCAACAUCCAAAAGCUUCUUGAUAUCCUUGCUCACGUGCCAUUUCUGGUUUGGAGAAAACAGAGGAAGGGUCAUGAUACAGAGUGCAUACAUCUAAGUAACUAGCAGUUCCAAGUAGCAACUAAAAUACUGUGUUAAGUAGCAAUUAGAACAACACUACUAAGUGAUUGGUAGCAACUAGAACAUCACUGGUAUGUGAUAAGUAGCAAUUAUAGCAACAAUACAAGAAGAUAAGUAUCAAUUACAGCAACACUACUAGGUGAGCAAUUAGAACAGCAGUACUAAUCAUACACAGUGAGCAUAAACAUUAGAGCACGAGAACAAUUAAAGAUCAACCUACUUAAAGAAAGCAAUAUACAUCAAGCUAUUUAAAGAUCAGCCGCUUUGAACAUAUACAUCAAGCUAGAUUUUUCUAAGUAACAAACCUGAAUCAGAAACACCAAAAAGAAGAGACUUACCAAAUUUACGAGUAGAGGCUGUUGACGUUCUUGGUCUUCUUCCUAAUAAGUCGUCCAGAUCUAGUCUCCAAAUGGCCAGUGCUUGUUGGUGCCUCCUUUUGAACUUGUACUUGUGUCUCUUCUUCAAGUUGCAUUUGUGUCUCAAGCUGAUCUUGUUCACCAUCCUCAUCAUCCUCACUCACCCCAUCAUCAUCCUCGAUGUCAUUAUCAACAUAUUCAUUCUCUUCUUCAUCAUCCUCACUCUCAGUUUCAAGAAACUCAUUCUCAUCAUCAUCAUUCCUCUUUCUUUUCUUGUUAUUACCCUUUGAACCAACAUAAGACGCCUUCCUGCUUGAGUUGAGGCGCCUUAUUUGCUCAAAAACAGCACUAGCUGCAUCAGCUCCAUCCACAAUCGGAUCCUCUACAUCCUCAUUCAGCCACUCCAUUAUUGGGUUUGUUUCAUCAAACAUUGUGGUAUCCAUUAGCAAUGCACUUGGAUCAAUUUCUUUAUCUAUAUCUCUCUCUUUCUCUUGAUCUUCUUCAGCACGUAUCUUCAAGGUUUGAAUAGUAAACAAGUAAAUUAUAUGACAUGCAAGGACAACACAAAGUAGAAAGUAAAAGUGAUGGUUUAUACCUUUAAGUUGUAGCGUACAGAAACUAGCUUGUGGAGCUUGUCAUAUAGAAGAUGACUUCUUUGCUUUGUGUGCACCAAAGCAAAAGCGCUCCAAUUUCUCUCACACCCACUAGAGGAGACACAUUGUGAGCAAAUUCUCAUUGCACAUUUCUGCAAUGCAGGAACAUCCCCUCCAAACUGA